This 407-nucleotide ribosomal RNA is filed under the name uncultured bacterium. Its description in RNAcentral is "partial 16S ribosomal RNA". It matches the Rfam family "Bacterial small subunit ribosomal RNA", at positions 30 to 526 of the family's 1533-position model. The record is from RNAcentral.
AUUGAACGCUGGCGGCAGGCCUAACACAUGCAAGUCGAGCGGAGCGGCGGACGGGGGAGUAAUGCCUAGGAAUCUGCCUGGUAGUGGGGGAGAACGUCCGGAAACGGGCGCUAAUACCACAUCCUAUCGGCUGAGCAUAGGUCGGAUGAGCUUGUUGGUGGGGGAAAGGCCUACCAAGGCGACGAUCCGUAACUGGUCUGAGAGGAUGAUCAGCCACACUGGAACUGAGACACGGUCCAGACUCCUACGGGAGGCAGCAGUGGGGAAUAUUGGACAAUGGGCGAAAGCCUGAUCCAGCCAUGCCGCGUGUGUGAAGAAGGUCUUCGGAUUGUAAAGUACUUUAAGUUGGGAGGCGUUACCAACAGAAUAAGCACCGGCUAACUCCGUGCCAGCCGCCGCGGUAAUUC